Molecule: unclassified non-coding RNA, 268 nt
Filed under: plant metagenome
Description: partial contains small subunit ribosomal RNA, internal transcribed spacer 1, and 5.8S ribosomal RNA
Source: RNAcentral
UUUCCGUAGGUGAACCUGCGGAAGGAUCAUUAAUGAGUUGUCAUGGGGUUCGAUGCUGGCAGCCAAUUUUUGGAUGCAUGUGCUUGCCCUAACAAUCAUCUUCCAAACACCUGUGCACAUUUUUGAGGGAGUCUUGAGUUGGUUGCCGCUCUUGGGUGAUUUUCUCACAUUCCCUUAAAUCAUUAUACGCUAUUAACAAUGUUGAACGUGCUCUGUGCCGCAGGCUAUUAAUAUAAUACAACUUUUAACAACGGAUCUCUUGGCUCUC